UGCAGUCGAGCGGACCGACGGGAGCUUGCUCCCUUAGGUCAGCGGCGGACGGGUGAGUAACACGUGGGUAACCUGCCUGUAAGACUGGGAUAACUCCGGGAAACCGGGGCUAAUACCGGAUGCUUGAUUGAACCGCAUGGUUCAAUCAUAAAAGGUGGCUUUUAGCUACCACUUACAGAUGGACCCGCGGCGCAUUAGCUAGUUGGUGAGGUAACGGCUCACCAAGGCGACGAUGCGUAGCCGACCUGAGAGGGUGAUCGGCCACACUGGGACUGAAACACGGCCCAGACUCCUACGGGAGGCAGCAGUAGGGAAUCUUCCGCAAUGGACGAAAGUCUGACGGAGCAACGCCGCGUGAGUGAUGAAGGUUUUCGGAUCGUAAAACUCUGUUGUUAGGGAAGAACAAGUACCGUUCGAAUAGGGCGGUACCUUGACGGUACCUAACCAGAAAGCCACGGCUAACUACGUGCCAGCAGCCGCGGUAAUACGUAGGUGGCAAGCGUUGUCCGGAAUUAUUGGGCGUAAAGCGCGCGCAGGCGGUUUCUUAAGUCUGAUGUGAAAGCCCCCGGCUCAACCGGGGAGGGUCAUUGGAAACUGGGGAACUUGAGUGCAGAAGAGGAGAGUGGAAUUCCACGUGUAGCGGUGAAAUGCGUAGAGAUGUGGAGGAACACCAGUGGCGAAGGCGACUCUCUGGUCUGUAACUGACGCUGAGGCGCGAAAGCGUGGGGAGCGAACAGGAUUAGAUACCCUGGUAGUCCACGCCGUAAACGAUGAGUGCUAAGUGUUAGAGGGUUUCCGCCCUUUAGUGCUGCAGCAAACGCAUUAAGCACUCCGCCUGGGGAGUACGGUCGCAAGACUGAAACUCAAAGGAAUUGACGGGGGCCCGCACAAGCGGUGGAACAUGUGGUUUAAUUCGAAGCAACGCGAAGAACCUUACCAGGUCUUGACUCCUCUGACAACCUAAAAAUAGGGCUUCCCCUUCGGGGGCAAAGUGACAGUGUGCUUG
RNAcentral lists this ribosomal RNA (1006 nucleotides) under Bacillus licheniformis. Its description in RNAcentral is "bacterial SSU rRNA". It matches the Rfam family "Bacterial small subunit ribosomal RNA", at positions 56 to 1047 of the family's 1533-position model. Lineage: Bacteria; Bacillati; Bacillota; Bacilli; Caryophanales; Bacillaceae. The record is from RNAcentral.